UGUUUCGGCUAGGGGGCCAUCCCGGCUUACCAACCCGAUGCAAACUGCGAAUACCGGAGAAUGUUAUCACGGGAGACACACGGCGGGUGCUAACGUCCGUCGUGAAGAGGGAAACAACCCAGACCGCCAGCUAAGGUCCCAAAGUCAUGGUUAAGUGGGAAACGAUGUGGGAAGGCCCAGACAGCCAGGAUGUUGGCUUAGAAGCAGCCAUCAUUUAAAGAAAGCGUAAUAGCUCACUGGUCGAGUCGGCCUGCGCGGAAGAUGUAACGGGGCUAAACCAUGCACCGAAGCUGCGGCAGCGACACUGUGUGUUGUUGGGUAGGGGAGCGUUCUGUAAGCCUGUGAAGGUGUGUCGUGAGGCAUGCUGGAGGUAUCAGAAGUGCGAAUGCUGACAUAAGUAACGAUAAAGCGGGUGAAAAGCCCGCUCGCCGGAAGACCAAGGGUUCCUGUCCAACGUUAAUCGGGGCAGGGUGAGUCGACCCCUAAGGCGAGGCCGAAAGGCGUAGUCGAUGGGAAACGGGUUAAUAUUCCCGUACUUGGUGUUACUGCGAAGGGGGGACGGAGAAGGCUAUGUUGGCCGGGCGACGGUUGUCCCGGUU
Molecule: ribosomal RNA, 599 nt
Filed under: Salmonella enterica
Lineage: Bacteria; Pseudomonadati; Pseudomonadota; Gammaproteobacteria; Enterobacterales; Enterobacteriaceae
Description: partial 23S ribosomal RNA
Rfam family: Bacterial large subunit ribosomal RNA
Source: RNAcentral